This 393-nucleotide ribosomal RNA is filed under the name uncultured bacterium. RNAcentral's name for it is "partial 16S ribosomal RNA". It matches the Rfam family "Bacterial small subunit ribosomal RNA", at positions 523 to 918 of the family's 1533-position model. The record is from RNAcentral.
AUACGGAGGAUCCAAGCGUUAUCCGGAUUUAUUGGGUUUAAAGGGUGCGCAGGCGGAAGAUUAAGUCGGCGGUGAAAUUUUGCAGCUCAACUGUAAAAGUGCCUUCGAAACUGGUUUCCUUGAGUGUAGAUGAAGUAGGCGGAAUUUGUGGUGUAGCGGUGAAAUGCUUAGAUAUCACGAGGAACUCCGAUUGCGCAGGCAGCUUACUAAACCACUACUGACGCUCAUGUACGAAGGCGUGGGGAUCAAACAGGAUUAGAUACCCUGGUAGUCCACGCAGUAAACGAUGAUUACUAGUUGUUUGCGAUACAAUGUAAGCGACUGAGCGAAAGCGUUAAGUAAUCCACCUGGGGGGUACGUUCGCAAGAAUGAAACUCAAAUGAAUUGGCGGGG